UACGUAGGGGGCAAGCGUUAUCCGGAAUUACUGGGUGUAAAGGGUGCGUAGGUGGUAUGGCAAGUCAGAAGUGAAAACCCAGGGCUUAACUCUGGGACUGCUUUUGAAACUGUCAGACUAGAGUGUAGGAGAGGUAAGCGGAAUUCCUAGUGUAGCGGUGAAAUGCGUAGAUAUUAGGAGGAACAUCAGUGGCGAAGGCGGCUUACUGGACUGAAACUGACACUGAGGCACGAAAGCGUGGGGAGCAAACAGG
Molecule: ribosomal RNA, 253 nt
Filed under: Anaerostipes hadrus ATCC 29173 = JCM 17467
Lineage: Bacteria; Bacillati; Bacillota; Clostridia; Lachnospirales; Lachnospiraceae
Description: Anaerostipes hadrus DSM 3319 partial 16S ribosomal RNA
Rfam family: Bacterial small subunit ribosomal RNA
Source: RNAcentral